RNAcentral lists this ribosomal RNA (253 nucleotides) under uncultured bacterium. Its description in RNAcentral is "partial 16S ribosomal RNA". It matches the Rfam family "Bacterial small subunit ribosomal RNA", at positions 524 to 776 of the family's 1533-position model. The record is from RNAcentral.
GACGGAGGGUGCUAGCGUUGUCCGGAAUCACUGGGCGUAAAGGGCGCGCAGGCGGCCCCGCCAGUCGGGCGUGAAAGCCCGGGGCUCAACCCCGGAACGGCGCCCGAGACGGCGGGGCUGGAGACCGGGAGAGGAGGGUGGAAUAGCCAGUGUAGAGGUGAAAUUCGUAGAUAUUGGCUGGAACACCGGUGGCGAAAGCGGCUCUCUGGCCCGGGUCUGACGCUGAGGCGCGAAAGCGUGGGGAGCAAACAGG